GGUCGUACUCCCCAGGCGGUGUGUUUAUCGGUUUCCCUGCGACACUGAAAAUAAAUUUCCAACGUCUAACACACAUCGUUUACGGCAUGGACUACGAGGGUAUCUAAUCCUCUUCGCUACCCAUGCUUUCGUUCCUCAGUGUCAGUAAUGAUCCAGAAAGCUGCCUUCGCAAUUGGUAUUCUUUCUAAUAUCUACGAAUUUCACCUCUACACUAGAAAUUCUGCUUUCCUCUAUCAUACUCUAGCUGAAAAGUUUUGAUGGCAGUUCCAGAGUUAAGCUCUGGGAUUUCACCACCAACUUUUUCAACCACCUACGAACUCUUUAAGCCCAGUAAUUCCGAACUACGCUAGGUCCCUUCGUAUUACCGCGGCUGCUGGCACGAAGUUAGCCGGACCUUCUUAUUCGGGUACAGUCAUUUUCUUCCCCGACGAAAGAGCUUUACAACCCAAAGGCCUUCUUCACUCACGCGGCAUCGCUGCAUCAGAGUUUCCUCCAUUGUGCAAGAUUCCCCACUGCUGCCUCCCGUAGGAGUUUGGGCCGUGUCUCAGUCCCAAUGUGGCUGAUCAUCCUCUCAAAUCAGCUAUUGAUCAUAGUCUUGGUAGGCCAUUACCCUACCAACAAACUAAUCAAGUGCGGGCUCAUCCAAUGGUGCAUAAAGCUUUCUCCGUAAAGACUUAUCCGGUAUUAGCACAAGUUUCCUCGUGUUAUUCCAGGCCAAAGGGUAGAUACCCACAUGUUACUCACCCGUCUGCCACUAAGUAUUGCUACUUCGUUCGACUUGCAUGUGUUAGGCGUGCCGCCAGCGUACGUUCUGAGCCAGGAUCAAACUCU
This 831-nucleotide ribosomal RNA is filed under the name uncultured bacterium. RNAcentral describes it as "partial 16S ribosomal RNA". The record is from RNAcentral.